CCAAUGCAAGGGACACGGAUUCGAACCCUGGUCCAGGAAGAUCCCACAUGCUGCGGAGCAACUAAGCCCAUGCACAACUACUGAGCCUGAGCCCUAGAGCCCCUAGAGCCACAACUACUGAGCCCAUGUGCCACACCUACUGAAGCCUGCAAGCCUAGAUCCCGUGCUUCGCAACAAGAGAAACCACGACAAUGAGAAGCCCACGCUCUGCAACUAAGAGUAGCCCCUGCUCACUGAAACUAGAGAGCCCACGCACAGCAACAGACCCAACACAGCCAAAAAUAAAUUAAUUAAAAAUAAUAAUAAUUAAAGUGUCAUACAUACCUUAAGUACUCUCAGAUAAAUCCUUCCUGACUUCCUAUGCCUCUGCUAUACAUGCAUAUAGCAUUUUUUUCCCCCAAAGCCCUUAUUAUACAAACUGCUCAGGUAUACAUGCGUUGCCUUUGGGGUUUAACCAUAUAAAUCUAGGCUAUUAGCUAUGCUUGGAUAUCUGAAGUUAAAAAUCAAAAAAAAUGGAGGAAAUAAUUUUUUCCCCAUUAUGUUAUCCUUUUGAAUUCCAUUUUUACUAACAGAUUUCUGGCUCUCAUUUACUUCCUAAUUUCAUCAGCCUUGACCCAAUACCACCAUAUUGACUUUUUAAAUGCUUUCUCAUUAACCACACUAUCUAAAAUGUAACCUGAAUUCAUUUAGACUAGGCUUUCUCAAACUAUUUGUGUUCUUUGGGGGAAAAGAAGAGAGUCUAUGAUAGUCAAAGAAGGUUAAAAGACUCCAAGAAAUCAUGAAGAAAUGAAUUGUCUUAUCUUGUGUUUCCCAAACUUUUGGUAUUUGAACACAGAAUCCCCUUUAAUGUUUGAGAAAUACAGAAUUUGUCCUUAUAUAUUACAGAUAUGAAGUAAAUCAGAGUGAUCCUAUAAUCAGUUGCAAACCUGAAAGCAAUCAUUCCUAAAUAGGUAUCAGACUUCCUCUAACUUAAAACCAGAUGAGGUAUAAAGUGCCCCUAACGAUGGGUGACGAGCUGUUAAGCUAUAGUGGAUCUCAACAUUGGGUUUCUAGCUCGCAGCAUCCGAAGCUUAUUUCCAGUUUGCUCACUGUAAUUUCAAGAAAUAGGUUUAAAAUCCCCUUGCACAUCUGAUACAGUAACACCAUGCUGAAGUUUACCACGUGGACACUAUGGAUCAAAUUCUGAUGCACAAUCUUUUUGGUGGUAAAAUGUAAAAUAUAGGCAGCUUGUUUGUUUUUCCUUCAAAACCAGCCAUAAAAUGGUAACUAAUUAUAUUAGUUCUAAGAACUUCAGAAACAACAUAAUAAGGCAGCAGUUUUAAAAAGAAUUAUCCUGGGUAACAGUAAAUGGGAUUCUUGUAACCGUAACAAUAUGUUACAAUAAAAGAUUGAUUUUUCUGAAGACUCUCAAACCUCAUAAUACACAGUCCCCAACUAAAUUUUUCAACUUUAUGAUACACAUUCACAUUCAACAGAAACGUUGAGUUUUAAUCUUUUCUCGGGCUAGCAGUGUGCAGUAGGACACUUGUGAUGCUGGGCAGUGGCAGGGAGCCACAGCUCCCAGUCAGCCAUGCAAUCACAAGUAAACAACCGAUACCCACACAACCAUUCUGUUUUUCACUUUCAGUACAUUAUUCAGUAAAUUAUUUUCAGCUUGUAAUGGGUUUAUCAGGAUGUAAUCCAUUUUAAACUGAGGAAGCUCUAUAGUCUCUAAUUUACACCACCCCCCAACACACACAAACAUAUAGACACAUAUUAUAAAACCUUGAUUUCAAAUGUAUAAAAAGGCUCCAUAAAUUUUGGGAAAAGCUGAAGAAACAAUAAAUGGCCUAUGUCAAACAAAUACAAAAUUGUAUCAAGACUAACAGGGACUAUAGAAAAACCUAUUUUAGUUAAAUACCUUUAAAUUGUCACAAUGAACAAUGAAACCAUAGCUAUAGUGGAUAACUGUUUUGUUUAAAUUUCAAUGACAAUAUAAAAAGCAUAUCCUAGAUCAUCUGAAUAACUGAUUUGUAAUUAAACACUGAAUUAUUGGGCUUCCCUGGUGGCGCAGUGGUUGAGAGUCUGCCUGCCGAUGCAGGAAACACAGGUUCGUGCCCCGGUCCGGGAGGAUCCCACAUGACGCGGAGCGGCUGGGCCCGUGAGCCAUGGCCACUGAGCCUGAGCGUCUGGAGCCUGUGCUCCGCGGCGGGAGAGGCCACGGCAGUGAGAGGCCACGCGUACCGCAAAAAAAACAAAACAACAAAAAAAACUGAUUAUUUCAGUGCUUGGAGCUGCAAUGUGUUGAUCACACUGACACCAAGUAGGAACUGACAACCUAAAAUAACAGUAAUAAGUAUUGUUCAACCAGUCCAUAAACAUUCUCAGAGGUCCUUAGGUUCUCAUAUAUGAGAAACAUUGCUCUCAACUUUUACAAGUACAGUUGACCCUUGAACAACAUGGGUUUGAACUGUGUGGGGUCACUUAUACACAGUUGUUUUUAGUGGUAAAUACUACAAUACUACAUGAUCCAGGGUUGGUUGAAUCCACGGAUGAAGAACUGUGGGUACAGAGGGACCUUGGAACUGCAGAUAUGGAGGACCUGCAUAUAAGAAGGAACAAUGUAUAGGGAGGGUCCACUAUAAAUUAUACAGGGAUUUUCAACUACAAGAGAGGACUCAUGCUCCUAACCCCACAAAAAAAAAAAACAAAGCCCAGGGUGGUGUUCAGGGGUCAACUGCAUGCUUACCUAUAAAUGAAAUUUGUAACCCUCUGAAAAGUCUAACUUCUAUAACAUAUUUAACUUGAAUUAUUACUCCUCCCCCCACAAAAAAAAAAGCCCAGGACCUCUUUAUAAAAACGUAUCAAAUUUAUUUCAAUAUCUAGUUUCAUUUUUAAGUUAAAGCUUUUAGACAAUUUUUUUGUAAUUUAAGAUUCAUUAUCAGGGGUGAAGAAAACAUUAAUAAGCUAUUAAUUACUGACAACAAGUAAAAUUAUUAACCAUGCAUUUAUAAAAGCCAUGUUAAAGAGUAAAAAAAAGUUCCAGUUAUACUACUUAACUAAAGGAAAUAUCCUUCAGCCCUUUAUUUCUAACUAUAACACAUUAUAAUUUUGACAUGAUUUACACCUUUUUCACCCAAUUAAUACUAUGCUAAACAAAAUUUUUCCAACUGUUAAACCUUUCUUUACCAUUUAUGAAAUAUGACUUAACUGUUACGCUUUAAAAGUUCCUUAAAAGAGAUUUGAAUUUUAAUUUUCACCAUGAACCUGUUUGAUCAAAAAAGUAAAGGACAUCACUACCACAUGAAUUAAAAGAAUGGAAUGAAAAACAAAAGUGGUAUUAUAUAAUCAGCAAAUUAUUUGAUAAGACAUUUUAACUACUUCACAUUUCUACUUAUAGCACAAGAGAGAAUUAACUGGUUCCAAGGUACUACAAGGUUUGGCAUUUUUACUCCAAGCUUUAAAUCAUAGUGUUACUCUACUCAAGUCAUCUCUAAGAAAAUGGCAGUGUUCAUAAGUACAAAAAUUGUUAUAUCCAGUAAGUGGUAUUCUACAUGGUCAAGAUAAUAAGAGAAUUCUUUAUAAAAUUAGAUUUUUUAAAAUGCAGAAAGUCUGGUAAUUACCAGUAUCUCAAAAGCUAAAAUGAGAAAAAUACAGAAAACAGAAGUACUCGUUGAA
Non-coding RNA from Kogia breviceps (pygmy sperm whale), 3657 nucleotides. Lineage: Eukaryota; Metazoa; Chordata; Mammalia; Artiodactyla; Physeteridae. The record is from RefSeq and is a predicted model, not a curated record.